Molecule: ribosomal RNA, 649 nt
Filed under: uncultured bacterium
Lineage: Bacteria
Description: bacterial SSU rRNA
Rfam family: Bacterial small subunit ribosomal RNA
Source: RNAcentral
UACUGAAGGCCCGAGCGUUAAUCGGAAUCACUGGGCUUAAAGCGUACGCAGGCGGACUUGUAGGUAUUUUGUGAAAUCCCACGGCUUAACCGUGGAACUGCAGAGUAAACCACAAGUCUUGAGACAAGUAGGGGUCAGUGGAACUAUGAGUGGAGCGGUGAAAUGCGUAGAUAUUCAUGGGAACGCCAAUGGCGAAGGCAACUGACUGGGCUUGUUCUGACGCUCAGGUACGAAAGCGUGGGUAGCGAACGGGAUUAGAUACCCCGGUAGUCCACGCCGUAAACGAUGCACACUAGGUCGCGGUACCUCUCAUGGUUUCGCGGCCGAAGGUAAACUGAUUAGUGUGCCGCCUGGGGAGUACGGUCGCAAGGCUAAAACUCAAAGGAAUUGACGGGGGCUCACACAAGCGGUGGAGCAUGUUGCUUAAUUCGAGGCAACGCGAAGAACCUUACCUAGGCUUGACAUGUAUGGAUUAACCUUUCGAAAGAUAGGCCACGCCCUUGGGUGGAACAUACACAGGUGCUGCAUGGCUGUCGUCAGCUCGUGCUGUGAAGUGUCGGGUUAAGUCCCUUAACGAGCGCACCCCCUAUCGUUAGUUACUAACGCGUUAUGGCGAGGACUCUAGCGAGACUGCCGGUGUCAAACCGGA